This is a long non-coding RNA of Daphnia magna, 1385 nucleotides long. RefSeq lists it as uncharacterized. The transcript has 7 exons. NCBI's taxonomy places the organism in Eukaryota, Metazoa, Arthropoda, Branchiopoda, Diplostraca, Daphniidae. The record is from RefSeq and is a predicted model, not a curated record.
UGGAUAUUUGAAUUUUGGCCCAUAAUUUUGGCUUUGAUUGUUGUAGUUGUGACAUCUGACAUGUGGUUUGUUAGGAAAUCUCGUUGUCUUAACAGCGAUUCCAUUAUGCACGUAAUUCACCCAGCCAGCAGAAAAUGGAUAUCUUUUUUAUUUGUUUUCGAGAAGCUGUCCCAACAGUAUUUCCGAAAACUUUGUUGACAAAUUUUUUUUUUAAUGAUAACCAUAUAUUCUUGAGAUAACCCAGGCCAAAAGGAUUUCUGUUUCAUAUUCACUGCCAGGAAACUGUCAGUCUUGACAAGUAUUUAUGAAUUAUUCCUAUUGAGAUUCUAUGUUUACUGUUUUUCGAUUAGAUGUCUGCAUGAUGACAAGAUAUUUAACAGGAAAGUUGCACUGCUAGAGGAUUUAAGCUUUAAAUCAAAGGAAGCCAAUUGUGAUUUAAUAUUCAAGACCUAGCAAGUUCUGAGCUUUGGGAUGGACUGAUACUGAAAAACUGCAGUACAAUAUGAGCUGAUGGGCUGAGACUGGAAAUCUGCAGUAUCAUGUUGUUGAUGACAGAUUAGCAUGUUGCUGAACUUACAAUCAUGAUGCAGAUUGUAUUUGUGUCGAACCGGUCAUAUCAACGCGCUCAUCGUUGACGGUUUUACGUGGUUGGAGACGGUACCAAACGUGUUGGUGUUGUUAAAGCCGGAUAGACGACCCCUACGAUGAUGAACCACAAAGUCGAUCCCCUAAUUACGCCCGAGCCUAGGACGUCCAGAGAAUGACACAACAACGUUCAAAUUGCUAAUGUCUCCAUCCAUGCACCCAUUUCUUUCCAGACUCGUAAACAAGGAGUCGGCUUCACUAGCAUUGACAGUGGCUAUCUAUGGAUGGACGACCAUGAAGUUAUUCUAACAGCCCUAUGGAAAAUAAGGAUUUAAUUGGUUUCAAACUGGGCUUGCUCAAGGAUUUUAUCCAUAUCGGAAACAUAAAUAACAUGAAUUAUUAGGUUUUCAUGGUAUGCCAUGUUUGGAUUUCACUUAGAAAUCCUACCAGAAGCUUUUCAAGUAUAACACCAAAGAAGGCUUGCACUGAUUAAUGUUUGAAGUAAGUUCCAUAAGCAAAAAUGUUUUGUGCUGAUUCUUUUUUCUUCUCUCUAGGUUAAUAUUCGUAAUAAAUCAAAAAUAAGGUUUCAGAAUGAGGCUGGAGUUUUUAUCAAUGCUGUCGUUUCGAAACACGAUCGGAAAUACCUAUGGAAUGAAAAACAUUCUCGCGUGUUAUGGUAUUAGUCGUAUAUAAAUUGAAGUGCAUAUCUGGGCUCCCUUCUUUUCUGUGGCCCCGUUUCCCCUUGACUCAUAAUAAGCCCGUAGGGGGUCAUGCCCCUACUGUACGGUAUAUAUAAAAAC